RNAcentral lists this ribosomal RNA (400 nucleotides) under uncultured bacterium. RNAcentral's name for it is "bacterial SSU rRNA". It matches the Rfam family "Bacterial small subunit ribosomal RNA", at positions 355 to 748 of the family's 1533-position model. The record is from RNAcentral.
UGGGGAAUCUUGCGCAAUGGGCGAAAGCCUGACGCAGCGACGCCGCGUGAGUGAUGAAGGCCUUCGGGUUGUAAAGCUCUGUGGAGGGAGACGAAUAAGGCGUGGCGAAUACCCACGUUGAUGACUGUAUCCCUUUAGCAAGCACCGGCUAACUCUGUGCCAGCAGCCGCGGUAAGACAGAGGGUGCAAACGUUGUUCGGAAUUACUGGGCGUAAAGCGCGUGUAGGCGGCUUGGCAAGUCGGGUGUGAAAGCCCUGGGCUCAACCUAGGAAGUGCACUCGAAACUGCCUCGCUAGAGUGUCGGAGAGGGUAGUGGAAUUCUCGGUGUAGAGGUGAAAUUCGUAGAUAUCGAGAGGAACACCGGUGGCGAAGGCGGCUACCUGGACGACGACUGACGCUG